Long non-coding RNA from Pyrgilauda ruficollis (rufous-necked snowfinch), 562 nucleotides. RefSeq lists it as uncharacterized. The transcript is spliced from 2 exons. The record is from RefSeq and is a predicted model, not a curated record. NCBI's taxonomy places the organism in Eukaryota, Metazoa, Chordata, Aves, Passeriformes, Passeridae.
AUCCUAAAAUCUGGGGAGAAAUCUCAAAAUUUAGGGGGAGAAAUCCCAAAAUUGAGGGAGGAAAAUCCUGAAAUUGGAUGGGGAAUCCCCAAAAAAUCGGGAGAGGGACCCCAAAAUCGAUGUGGGAGCCCCAAAAUUGGAGGAGACCCCAAAAUCCCGGGAUUUUAUUGGGGUUCCCCCCGGGGAGGGGGGCAGGAUGCAGACCCCGGGUUUGGGGUUUUCCCCCGGAUUUUGGGGUGUCGCCCCGGAUUUUGGGGUCUCCCCCCGGAUUUUGGGGUGUCGCCCCGGAUUUUGGGGUCCCCCCCUGAUUUUGGGGUCCCCCCAGGUGCCUUCAAGUCCCUGGACCGGGACGGGUCGGGGCAGAUCCGCGUCAGCCUCCAGGAGUGGCUGCAGCUCACCAUGUACUCCUGAGGGGACCCCCAGGACCUUCCAGAACCUUCCAGGACACCCCAAAAUCCUCCCAGACACUCCAGGACACCCCAAAACCUCCUUGGACCCUCCAACUGCACCCCCAGCCUCCCCAGUCUGCACCCCCUCCCCAAAUAAAAACCCCCCAACCUUG